UGAUGUGACAGAGAUCUGGCUGUGCCAUCUGUCACCCCAUUGAUGGAUAGGGUUGGUUGGGCUGGGCUGCCCGGCUAGGUGGGUGUCCCCUUCCUCCCUUACCUCUCCAUGCGUGUCCCUCCUGACACUGCACCCUCCGAUACAAAGGACAACUUUCUCCAAAUCGAGGAGGAUGGGUCUUUGGUCAAGGGCUAUAUGAAUAGCUGCAUUCCCCUCUUAGACUCUCCAAACAAGCUCUCAAGGGACAUCGUCGAGCUUUCCUACGCAUCUGUAAUUGACGAUGUGAGGAUCUAACACCUGACUUCACUUCCUUCCAAGGUCUCUGGAGAGUAUGGAAGCUGAGCCUCCGAGUCCCUU
Molecule: small nuclear RNA, 357 nt
Filed under: Meriones unguiculatus (Mongolian gerbil)
Lineage: Eukaryota; Metazoa; Chordata; Mammalia; Rodentia; Muridae
Description: 7SK RNA (ENSMUGG00000011010.1)
Rfam family: 7SK RNA
About the family: 7SK was discovered as an abundant small nuclear RNA in the mid-70s but a possible function has only recently been suggested. Two independent studies have found that 7SK RNA binds the CDK9/cyclin T complex (known as elongation factor P-TEFb).
Source: RNAcentral